AUACAGAGGGUGCGAGCGUUGUCCGGAAUCACUGGGCGUAAAGAGCGCGCAGGCGGUCGUACAAGUCGCGUGUGAAAGCCCCCGGCUCAACUGGGGAGGGUCACGCGAUACUGUUCGACUCGAAGGCAGGAGAGGGAAGUGGAAUUCCCGGUGUAGUGGUGAAAUGCGUAGAUAUCGGGAGGAACACCAGUGGCGAAGGCGACCUCCUGGCCUGUUCUUGACGCUGAGGCGCGAAAGCUAGGGUAGCAAACGGG
RNAcentral lists this ribosomal RNA (254 nucleotides) under uncultured prokaryote. RNAcentral describes it as "partial 16S ribosomal RNA". It matches the Rfam family "Bacterial small subunit ribosomal RNA", at positions 523 to 776 of the family's 1533-position model. The record is from RNAcentral.